AUUGAAACACCGAUUCCCGUACGAUCACCGAAAUUAAGCAACGUUGAUACUGUUCAGUACCUAGAUGGGUGACCGCUUGGGAUUACCAGGUGCUGUAAG
Non-coding RNA from Acanthosepion pharaonis, 99 nucleotides. The record is from the annotation of a GenBank genome assembly. Lineage: Eukaryota; Metazoa; Mollusca; Cephalopoda; Sepiida; Sepiidae.